Molecule: ribosomal RNA, 708 nt
Filed under: uncultured bacterium
Lineage: Bacteria
Description: bacterial SSU rRNA
Rfam family: Bacterial small subunit ribosomal RNA
Source: RNAcentral
AGAGUUUGAUCCUGGCUCAGAACGAACGUUGGCGGCGUGGAUUAGGCAUGCAAGUCGAACGAAUCCCAUCUGGGUAACUGGGUGGGGGAAGUGGCGAAAGGGGCAGUAAGGCGUGGGUAACCUACCCUGGGGACCGGGAUAGCCAUCCUAACGGAUGGGUAAUACCGGGCGAUCUGCCGAGGGGGCAUCUCCUUGUCAGGAAAUGAGUUUCGCCUCGGGAGGGGCUCACGUGAUAUUAGCUAGUUGGCGGGGUAACGGCCCACCAAGGCUGAGAUGUCUAGCAGGUGUGAGAGCACGACCUGCGCCACUGGCACUGAGACACUGGCCAGACACCUACGGGUGGCUGCAGUCGAGGAUCUUCGCGCAAUGGGCGCAAGCCUGACCGAGCGACGCCGCGUGUGCGAUGAAGGCCUUCGGGUUGUAAAGCACUGUCGANGGGGAGGAAGGCCGCAAGGCUUGACCUAUCCCUGGAGGAAGCACGGGCUAAGGUUCGUGCCAGCAGCCGCGGUAAGACGAACCGUGCGAACGUUGUUCGGAAUCACUGGGCUUAAAGGGCGCGUAAGCGGGUCGGCANGUUCCGGGGGUGAAAGCCCNCAGCUCAACUGGGGAAGGGCCUUGNGAAACUGCCGGUCUCCGAGGGAGGUAGGGGCAUGUGGAACUUCGGGUNNACCGGUGAAAUGUCUUGAUAUCGNAAGGAACCCCGGUUGG